Molecule: long non-coding RNA, 462 nt
Organism: Scylla paramamosain (green mud crab)
Lineage: Eukaryota; Metazoa; Arthropoda; Malacostraca; Decapoda; Portunidae
Exons: 4
Source: RefSeq, a predicted model, not a curated record
GCUGUCUUGUGUCUCCCUCAGGUGGGUCUAGACGAGGAAGUGCGGCAGCUGCUGGAUCUGAAGGGUCAGGUAGCUCAGCGUGACCUGCGCCAGCUCAAGACCCACGCCACGCAAGACAACCAGACGCACGCCUCCGCCUCCUCAGGGAAUGAUCACUCGGGCGGCGCAGUGCGGCAGGGUAAAGUGGAGAGCACCCGCGAAGAGGCCUUCCACCUGGCAGACGGUACCAUCUCUCGCCAGGCCCACGCCGAGGAGCGAGUGUUGGCGAACGGUGCCCCAGUGAGCCGCGUGACCAGCGACGUGGAGGAGAGCAAGGAGGCUGGCCACACCCCGCACUCCCGCACACAGGUGCAGCUUGAUGUACCUUCGGAGAACCUUCACGAGACUCUUAUAGACGAGGAUGGCCAUCGCUCACUCUUCAGAGAGUCCCCCCAAGGUAAGGUCUCUCUCUCUCUCUCUCUC